GACGAACGCUGGCGGCGUGCUUAACACAUGCAAGUCGAACGGAAAGGCCCUGCUUUUGUGGGGUGCUCGAGUGGCGAACGGGUGAGUAACACGUGAGUAACCUGCCCUUGACUUUGGGAUAACUUCAGGAAACUGGGGCUAAUACCGGAUAGGAGCUCCUGCUGCAUGGUGGGGGUUGGAAAGUUUCGGCGGUUGAGAUUGACUCGCGGCUUAUCAGCUUGUUUGUGGGGUAGUGGCCUAACAAGGCUUUGAACGGUAGCCCGCCUGAGAGGGUGAACGGCCACCUUGGGACUGAGAUACGGCCCAGACUCCUACGGGAGGCAGAAGUGGGGAAUAUUGCACAAUGGGCGGAAGCCUGAUGCAGCAACGCCGCGUUCGGGAUGACGGCCUUCGGGUUGUAAACCGCUUUCGCCUGUGACGAAGCGUGAGUGACGGUAAUGGGUAAAGAAGCACCGGCUAACUACGUG
Molecule: ribosomal RNA, 467 nt
Filed under: uncultured bacterium
Lineage: Bacteria
Description: partial 16S ribosomal RNA
Rfam family: Bacterial small subunit ribosomal RNA
Source: RNAcentral